GGCAAAGAUUAGACAGGUCCAGAGCUGAGCGACGGUGAUAGAGGAACCGACGGUGGUCUCCGUCCGGCCACCGAUCGGUGGUCAAGGUCCGGUGGUUUUGACGCAGAAACAACGGUAGAAGGCGGUGGUGCUUAAGGGUUCCGCUGUGACACUAUGACGACGACGAUAAUAAACUUCCCUUUAAAGCGAUGCCAAAGUAGUGGCGCUGACUUCCGGCCUUCUGCUCAGGUCAUCGGCCCAUGACUUCCGACCUUCCGACUUCCCUAUCAGUGUGAUGCCUUGACAUCUUGAAAGCGCUGCUCCAUUCAGGAAUAGGUUAUGAUGGUGGUCUGCAAUGGUGACCAUUGGCGACGGAGAUGCCGCUAAAACAAAUAACAGAUGGUGGUGGUCUGUAACGAUCCCGUAUAUGGUGGUGUUGGAAGCUGCUAAAGGGACUACGAGACAGUUUGGAGACGGGUCAGAGCUGAGUCAAACGUAGUCAACUCAGUCAGCAGAGGUGUCUAUCAUUUAACCACAUACAUGUAAUUAUCUUCGGGCCUUCCGGUGAACAACGCGAUGGCCCAUUUCACAAGGGUUCAAAGCAUGUUUCUCGAUCAUUGAAUCUGUUAUUACGCUUUUUGCUACUUUUGGAAGCGUUUCUCUGCCGCUACUGCGACAGUUUACUUCUAAAAAACAAAGACAACAUCAGGCAGUAGCUAGCGAUGGACGAUGUAGAAGGUUGGCUGGGCGUUUCUGCUUGAUGGUAUGAUUUCGUUAAUUUCGGCAAACUGUUAUUUAUUUAGUCAGAUUUCAACGUUUUUUAGUUUUCUCUGUGGUUGUAUGUCAACAUAUAAAACUUGAUUCAGUGUGUUUGUUCCAUUCUAAUUCAGUCAAUUUGCAGUUCAACAUCCUAUUCCCUAAUCUUCGUGUCAAUAUAAUUAAUUCGCUCUUGGAAACUAAAUAUGUUGUUUGAUUGAUUAUUCAAUAAAAAAGCACUUGAAUUAGCUACAUCUCAGAUUAAAUUGAUGAAAAAUAACAAAGGAGUCCAUAUUAGUUAGACGAAGAGGGAGCUGGCUCAGUUGGUUGACACCGGUAGGACCGUGCGACCAGGGCCGGCUCUAUAGGCUUGGCAACUUAGGCACGGGCCUAGGGCCACCAAAAAGUAUGGGCCUCCAAGUUUUUAAAAAAAUUUAUAUAUACUAUAUGUAUGUAUUAGGCCCAAAUAAAUACGUUUAUUUCAAAACUAAACUGAUUUUUCAUUAAAGGAGUCCAAAAUAAAUAUUGUUUAGCAAACAAAGGUCUAGUUUCAAAACCCAUUUCGCCUUGAUUUCCAACUAUUACAACACAACAACCAUCGACCUAAUCAUCAAUAUUUAGCAGUCUAAAGCCCCUAAAUACAGCCGCAAUCAUCGUUCCCACUUCCCAUCGCAACUUGCUUUCAAUUUCUAGGCUAGCGGCUAUCACUAGACGAAAAAAGUAAGGGCAAUCACCCAUUGCGUCGGGAUUGGAGGAGAGUUUAUCGGCGAAAUUAGGGCCCCUACUUUAGAGUUCGCUUAGGGUCUCCAAAAAACGUAGGAACGGCCCUGCGUGCGACACAAAUUUCGGUUGGACAUGUAACUUGGGAAGCCAAGAUGGCGGUUGCAUAUGAUUUGAUUGAUGUUAGGUCCAAAAGUUUUAUGCUUUAUCUUUAUUACGUUUAUUUGGUUUAGAUUAGUUUUGGGCUUGGGCUUAGGCCAUGUGGGCCAAUGGGUAGUGGCUUCUAUAUAUAGUCCUUAUUAGAAUAUUGUAGUGAGAGCUUUCCCAUUCUUGUAAUGAGGUAGCCCCAAUAGAGAACCUUGUACCCGACAAUCCUACGGAUUGUGUGCAAGGUUCUCGAAGAUCGUACCAGACGGUUCGUUGAAACCGUGUGCGAUCUAAUCAGCGACACUACGUUAUUUAAUAAUAUUUUCUUUUGUUCUUGUCGGUUUGAUCUUACUUUCCGCAUUCGAUCGAAUCGUUGAGUGAUAUCACGGGUUAUUCGGGACCUACAAUUGAGAUACACCUGAGUCCAAAAACAUUGCAUCAAAAUUGAUGCUCGAACACUCACCAGAGAAAGGAGGUGCACUUUAUGGUAAGUUGAGAGUUAGCCAACAAGAACCAUCAUGUCCAGUUAGCUGAUUUUGUAGAAAGCAGCUUCUUGGUGAACAGUCGUAUAUGAGGCUGCUGCUGAUCCAUGAUUAUGAAGGUUUUGAGGUCACUUGGAUAUUAGUUGAUCGGCUAGGUGUAUUGUAAGUGCUAUGGUUUUUUCAAGUGCUUGACCUUAUUUUGGUUCAAUUGUAAGAACGCCAGUUUGAGUCUAAUAAUAUGUGGCUAUAAUUU
RNAcentral lists this long non-coding RNA (2337 nucleotides) under Helianthus annuus (common sunflower). Its description in RNAcentral is "hypothetical non coding rna". The record is from RNAcentral. Lineage: Eukaryota; Viridiplantae; Streptophyta; Magnoliopsida; Asterales; Asteraceae.